GAGCCUAUAACUCAGUUGGUUAGAGUAUACGCCUGAUAAGCGUAAAGUCGGCUGUUCGAAUCAGCCUAGGCUCA
RNAcentral lists this transfer RNA (74 nucleotides) under Chaetosphaeridium globosum. RNAcentral describes it as "tRNA-Ile". It matches the Rfam family "tRNA". Rfam says of the family: Transfer RNA (tRNA) molecules are approximately 80 nucleotides in length. Lineage: Eukaryota; Viridiplantae; Streptophyta; Coleochaetophyceae; Coleochaetales; Chaetosphaeridiaceae. The record is from RNAcentral.